CGUAGGUGACCUACCUUUUAGUUCGGGAUAACAGUAAGAAAUUACUGCUAAUACCGGAUGUGUUAAAUGAAAUUGAAAUACAUUUAAUAAAGAUGGCCUCUAUACUAUGCUAUCGCUAGAAGAAGGGCCUGCGGCCCAUUAGCUUGAUGGUGGGGUAACGGCCUACCAUGGCGAUGAUGGGUAGCCGGUCUGAGAGGAUGAUCGGCCACCACUGGAACUGAGACACGGUCCAG
This 233-nucleotide ribosomal RNA is filed under the name uncultured bacterium. RNAcentral's name for it is "partial 16S ribosomal RNA". It matches the Rfam family "Bacterial small subunit ribosomal RNA", at positions 116 to 334 of the family's 1533-position model. The record is from RNAcentral.